CCGUACACAAAAGCGCAUGUGCUGUGAGCUCGAUGAGUAGGGCGGGACACGUGGUAUCCUGUCUGAAUAUGGGGGGACCAUCCUCCAAGGCUAAAUACUCCUGACUGACCGAUAGUGAACCAGUACCGUGAGGGAAAGGCGAAAAGAACCCCGGCGAGGGGAGUGAAAAAGAACCUGAAACCGUGUACGUACAAGCAGUGGGAGCACAGGUUUACCUGUGUGACUGCGUACCUUUUGUAUAAUGGGUCAGCGACUUAUAUUCUGUAGCAAGGUUAACCGUAUAGGGGAGCCGUAGGGAAACCGAGUCUUAACCGGGCGUUAAGUUGCAGGGUAUAGACCCGAAACCCGGUGAUCUAGCCAUGGGCAGGUUGAAGGUUGGGUAACACUAACUGGAGGACCGAACCGACUAAUGUUGAAAAAUUAGCGGAUGACCUGUGGCUGGGGGUGAAAGGCCAAUCAAACCGGGAGAUAGCUGGUUCUCCCCGAAAGCUAUUUAGGUAGCGCCUCGUGAAUUCAUCUCCGGGGGUAGAGCACUGUUUCGGCUAGGGGGCCAUCCCGGCUUACCAACCCGAUGCAAACUGCGAAUACCGGAGAAUGUUAUCACGGGAGACACACGGCGGGUGCUAACGUCCGUCGUGAAGAGGGAAACAACCCAGACCGCCAGCUAAGGUCCCAAAGUCAUGGUUAAGUGGGAAACGAUGUGGGAAGGCCCAGACAGCCAGGAUGUUGGCUUAGAAGCAGCCAUCAUUUAAAGAAAGCGUAAUAGCUCACUGGUCGAGUCGGCCUGCGCGGAAGAUGUAACGGGGCUAAACCAUGCACCGAAGCUGCGGCAGCGAACGUAUCACCCAAGACAACUUUACGGAGUUGACGAUUGACGGAGCGAAGCGACGUCAAAGCGUUCAUUAAAGUCGAGUUGGCUUAGGGAUACGUUCGUUGGGUAGGGGAGCGUUCUGUAAGCCUGUGAAGGUGUGUCGUGAGGCAUGCUGGAGGUAUCAGAAGUGCGAAUGCUGACAUAAGUAACGAUAAAGCGGGUGAAAAGCCCGCUCGCCGGAAGACCAAGGGUUCCUGUCCAACGUUAAUCGGGGCAGGGUGAGUCGACCCCUAAGGCGAGGCCGAAAGGCGUAGUCGAUGGGAAACGGGUUAAUAUUCCCGUACUUGGUGUUACUGCGAAGGGGGGACGGAGAAGGCUAUGUUGGCCGGGCGACGGUUGUCCCGGUUUAAGCGUGUAGGUGUGUGUUCCAGGUAAAUCCGGUUCACUUUAACACUGAGGCGUGACGACGAGGCACUACGGUGCUGAAGCAACAAAUGCCCUGCUUCCAGGAAAAGCCUCUAAGCAUCAGGUAACACGAAAUCGUACCCCAAACCGACACAGGUGGUCAGGUAGAGAAUACCAAGGCGCUUGAGAGAACUCGGGUGAAGGAACUAGGCAAAAUGGUGCCGUAACUUCGGGAGAAGGCACGCUGACACGUAGGUGAAGUGAUUUACUCAUGGAGCUGAAGUCAGUCGAAGAUACCAGCUGGCUGCAACUGUUUAUUAAAAACACAGCACUGUGCAAACACGAAAGUGGACGUAUACGGUGUGACGCCUGCCCGGUGCCGGAAGGUUAAUUGAUGGGGUCAGCGCAAGCGAAGCUCCUGAUCGAAGCCCCGGUAAACGGCGGCCGUAACUAUAACGGUCCUAAGGUAGCGAAAUUCCUUGUCGGGUAAGUUCCGACCUGCACGAAUGGCGUAAUGAUGGCCAGGCUGUCUCCACCCGAGACUCAGUGAAAUUGAACUCGCUGUGAAGAUGCAGUGUACCCGCGGCAAGACGGAAAGACCCCGUGAACCUUUACUAUAGCUUGACACUGAACAUUGAGCCUUGAUGUGUAGGAUAGGUGGGAGGCUUUGAAGUGUGGACGCCAGUCUGCAUGGAGCCGACCUUGAAAUACCACCCUUUAAUGUUUGAUGUUCUAACGUGGACCCGUAAUCCGGGUUGCGGACAGUGUCUGGUGGGUAGUUUGACUGGGGCGGUCUCCUCCUAAAGAGUAACGGAGGAGCACGAAGGUUGGCUAAUCCUGGUCGGACAUCAGGAGGUUAGUGCAAUGGCAUAAGCCAGCUUGACUGCGAGCGUGACGGCGCGAGCAGGUGCGAAAGCAGGUCAUAGUGAUCCGGUGGUUCUGAAUGGAAGGGCCAUCGCUCAACGGAUAAAAGGUACUCCGGGGAUAACAGGCUGAUACCGCCCAAGAGUUCAUAUCGACGGCGGUGUUUGGCACCUCGAUGUCGGCUCAUCACAUCCUGGGGCUGAAGUAGGUCCCAAGGGUAUGGCUGUUCGCCAUUUAAAGUGGUACGCGAGCUGGGUUUAGAACGUCGUGAGACAGUUCGGUCCCUAUCUGCCGUGGGCGCUGGAGAACUGAGGGGGGCUGCUCCUAGUACGAGAGGACCGGAGUGGACGCAUCACUGGUGUUCGGGUUGUCAUGCCAAUGGCACUGCCCGGUAGCUAAAUGCGGAAGAGAUAAGUGCUGAAAGCAUCUAAGCACGAAACUUGCCCCGA
RNAcentral lists this ribosomal RNA (2529 nucleotides) under Salmonella enterica. RNAcentral describes it as "partial 23S ribosomal RNA". It matches the Rfam family "Bacterial large subunit ribosomal RNA", at positions 373 to 2802 of the family's 2925-position model. Lineage: Bacteria; Pseudomonadati; Pseudomonadota; Gammaproteobacteria; Enterobacterales; Enterobacteriaceae. The record is from RNAcentral. RNAcentral also lists the same sequence under 1 other name.